GACAAGACCGUGAAAGUUUGGGUCCAAAAGGAAGAAGAUUGAUGAGCUGCCUGGUUACGCUCUUAUCUACAUUGGCUGUCAUGUGGACUGACUAAUGCAGCUCGGCGAUGAUAUUAGUGAACUCAAGUGUUCUGUAGAGCUAUUCCUGGGAGGCUGGGAUCAUGUAAGAAAGACUCAACACAACAAUGCUUGAACUUCAUUUGUUGUGUUUCUGAUCCCCUAAUCUUUGAUGCGGAGCUGUUUUUGUUAU
Zea mays is the source of this 250-nucleotide long non-coding RNA. RefSeq lists it as uncharacterized. The record is from RefSeq and is a predicted model, not a curated record. The transcript has 2 exons. NCBI's taxonomy places the organism in Eukaryota, Viridiplantae, Streptophyta, Magnoliopsida, Poales, Poaceae.